Podarcis raffonei (Aeolian wall lizard) is the source of this 2385-nucleotide long non-coding RNA. RefSeq lists it as uncharacterized. The transcript is spliced from 2 exons. NCBI's taxonomy places the organism in Eukaryota, Metazoa, Chordata, Lepidosauria, Squamata, Lacertidae. The record is from RefSeq and is a predicted model, not a curated record.
GACAAGGUACAGGAGCAGCUGCCCUGGCAAGACAUUCCAUGUCCCAGUUGGUGGAGGAGCUGGGUUGAGAUGGGGGUGCCUCUUUCUGGCCCUGUUUUAUGGGGUUCUGCCAGGCUGCCCCUCCCCCUGGCAGAAGGGGGGUGCUCUCAUGGCCGGGCUGUGGGUAUGUCUCUGGUGUUUGGACCACGGAUCUGAAUACCAGUGGGGGCAACUGUAAGGUUCUACACAUAGGCAGGACUAAUCUGGAUAUACACAUAUAGGUUGGGGGACACCUAGCUUGGCAUGUGAAAAGGAUGUAGGGGUCUUGGUGGACCACAAGCUUAACGUGAGCCAACAGUGCGAUGCAGCAGCAAAAAAGGUUAAUGCAAUUCUAGACAAAAAAAGUUAAUGCAGUUCUAGGCUGUAAAAAGGUACAGUCAUACUUCAGGUUACAGCCGCUUCAGGUUGCGUUUUUUCGGGUUACAGACCCACCAAAACCCGGAAGCACCGGAACGGGUUACUUCCAGGUUUCAGCAAUCGCGCUUUGCGCAUGUGCAGAAGCACCGAAUCGCAACCCGCAUGCGGCAGGCGCGCCACUGCGGGUUGCGAAUGCUGCGGGUUGCCAACGUGCAUCCCCACGCACUGAUCACGUUCACAACCUGAGCGUCCACUGUCAAGGUAAAGGACCCCUGGGUGGUUAAGUCCAGACAAAGGCGGCUAUGGGGUUUUAGCGCUCAUCUCGCUUUCAGGCCAAGGGAGCUGGCGUUUGUCCACAGACAGCUUUCCGGGUCGUGUGGCCAGCAGAACUAAACCGCUUCUGGUGCAACGGGACACCAUGACAGAAACCAGAGCGCACUGAAACGCCGUUUACCUUCCCACCGCAGCCGUACCUAUUUAUAAUAAUAACAAUUUUUUAUUUAUACUCUGCCCUUCCCAGUUCAAAAACCGGGCUCAGGGUGGCUAACAACAAAUUUAAAACACUUUUCAUUAUAAAAGCAGCAUAAAAUACAGUAUAAAAACAUGAAUAACAAUAAAAUUCAAAAAUCAAUUUAGGGGAAAUAAGCAUUAGAUAAUCCCCAGGGCUAGCUGGCUGAAUUGGUCCUACUUGGGCCAGUGAGGAGACCAGGGGAGAAUGAGCUGUGGGGUCUCAGAGCGGGUAAUCAGAGCAGGAGUUGAACAGAGGUGUGGCCUGAGCCAUCACUGAGCAUGUCCUUUGCAACGACACACACUAGAGCUGGGUAUAAUUGGGGCAAGUACUCACUUCUCUCGCUCCCGGGCGUUCUUGUAUAACUUUACUUCCUGCAAGGGAAAGGAGAGUGACAUUGGAUCCACCAAAUCUUUGCACCACACGAGAGAAGAGUUGGGGCAUCGGGGACCUUCAAGUCUAGGAGGCCCCCAAAUGCCCUUGUAAGGAGCAGCGAGGGUAGUUCGCCAGGGGAGUCCUGCCCAAAUCAGGAGCGCUCUGGCUGGCAGUCCUGCAAUCUGGGGAGUGCCUGAAAUUCCCCGCAAUACUGCAACUCCCCCUCCCCAACCCACUCCCUGUGCCUCAUUUGAAAGGAGUUUCUUGCCACUAAGCCACAAGGGAAACAGCAUCACUUGCCUCGUAUAGUUCCGGCUUAUUCGCUGGGGCUGAAAAACAAAAAGGUGGAAAUACAUGAGACCGGCUUGCUCCCAAACUGCUGCCAUGAACAUGAGAAAAGUUCUCCAGGAAACCCACAAGCAGGAUUUGAGCACAAGAGCCUCUGCCCUCCUGCGGUUUCCAGCAACUGCCUCUGACUUUGGAGGCAGAGUAUAACCAUCGUGGUUAACAGCCACAGAUUGCCCUCUCCUCCUUGCCUUAUGCCAGAACACAAAAGAAUUUGGAAGUGGAGCUCAAGAUCAGUGGGGUUUGGAGACACCAUGCCUGACACACAGGUUAUAUACACAGAAUCCUUGCCAAUUAUUUUUAGGCAUCUCUUCAGGAUCUUAUGCCAACACACCUAUUCAGCUGUUUAUAAAUUCUUUCAGGUUGCGCAAGUCCCUUUUAGGAUUACACUCAUACUUCGGGUUACAGCUGCUUCAGGUUGCGUUUUCUUGGGCUACAGACCCGCCGAAACCCGGAAGUACCGGAAUGGGUUACUUCCGGGUUUCGGCGGUCGCACAUGCGCAGAAGUGCUAAAUCGUGCUUUGCGCAUGUGCAGAAGCGCCGAAUCACAACCCGCGCAUGCGCAGACACGGCACUGCGGGUUGCAAACGUGCCUCCCGCAUGGAUCACGUUCGCAACCCAAGCGUCCACUGUAUCUCAUAUUGAUGGUAUUUAAUAUUUUAUCACACUGACACAUUUUGCUGUACACUGCCUUGAUAUUAUAUGUGAAGGGGCGAUUGAUACAUAUUUUUAUAAUGAAAUAUAUAAAAACACUUCACACA